RNAcentral lists this ribosomal RNA (494 nucleotides) under uncultured bacterium. RNAcentral describes it as "partial 16S ribosomal RNA". It matches the Rfam family "Bacterial small subunit ribosomal RNA", at positions 29 to 507 of the family's 1533-position model. The record is from RNAcentral.
ACGCACGCUGGCGGCGUGCCUCAUACAUGCAAGUAGCACGCUGAAGGCGGAGCUUGCUUCUCCGGAUGAGUUGCGAACGGGUGAGUAACGCGUAGGUAACCUGCCUGGUAGCGGGGGAUAACUAUUGGAAACGAUAGCUAAUACCGCAUAAGAGUAGAUGUUGCAUGACAUUUGCUUAAAAGGUGCAAUUGCAUCACUACCAGAUGGACCUGCGUUGUAUUAGCUAGUUGGUGAGGUAACGGCUCACCAAGGCGACGAUACAUAGCCGACCUGAGAGGGUGAUCGGCCACACUGGGACUGAGACACGGCCCAGACUCCUACGGGAGGCAGCAGUAGGGAAUCUUCGGCAAUGGACGGAAGUCUGACCGAGCAACGCCGCGGGAGUGAAGAAGGUUUUCGGAUCGUAAAGCUCUGUUGUAAGAGAAGAACGAGUGUGAGAGUGGAAAGUUCACACUGUGACGGUAUCUUACCAGAAAGGGACGGCUAACUACGUG